AAGUCGUAACAAGGUUUCCGUAGGUGAACCUGCGGAAGGAUCAUUAUUGAAUUGUUUGUUUGAAUUGGCUUAAAACCCCAAUUCGGCAUCCAUAUCCAUAACACCUGUGCACUGUUGGAUGACCUAAACUCUCACGAGUAUUGGAAGUCCACAUUUACACCAAACAAUUUGUAACAAAUGUAGUCUUAUUAUAACAAUAAUAAAA
This 205-nucleotide unclassified non-coding RNA is filed under the name plant metagenome. Its description in RNAcentral is "partial contains small subunit ribosomal RNA and internal transcribed spacer 1". The stretch from base 1 to 46 matches the Rfam family "Eukaryotic small subunit ribosomal RNA", at positions 1786 to 1831 of the family's 1831-position model. The record is from RNAcentral.